AGCAGUCGCCGCGGUAAGACAGAGGAUGCAAGCGUUAUCCGGAAUGAUUGGGCGUAAAGGGCUCGCAGGCGGUUUCUUAAGUCUGAUGUGAAAGCCCCCGGCUCAACCGGGGAGGGUCAUUGGAAACUGGGAAACUUGAGUGCAGAAGAGGAGAGUGGAAUUCCACGUGUAGCGGUGAAAUGCGUAGAGAUGUGGAGGAACACCAGUGGCGAAGGCGACUCUCUGGUCUGUAACUGACGCUGAGGAGCGAAAGCGUGGGGAGCGAACAGGAUUAGAUACCCCCGUAGUCCCUGUCUCUUAUAA
This 303-nucleotide ribosomal RNA is filed under the name uncultured bacterium. Its description in RNAcentral is "partial 16S ribosomal RNA". It matches the Rfam family "Bacterial small subunit ribosomal RNA", at positions 507 to 809 of the family's 1533-position model. The record is from RNAcentral.